Molecule: long non-coding RNA, 1515 nt
Organism: Medicago truncatula (barrel medic)
Lineage: Eukaryota; Viridiplantae; Streptophyta; Magnoliopsida; Fabales; Fabaceae
Exons: 3
Source: RefSeq, a predicted model, not a curated record
CACCCCAACCAUAGUUUCAUAAAAUCUCCUUAGAGUUAAAUCAUCGAGCCACCGAAGCUCUUUUAGAAAAACCUCGUGCAAACCUCAGAUCUAGUCCAAUCGUUCUUCUCGCUUUUGUUCGAGAUCAAAACCUUGGUUGUGCUUCAUAUAUUAGGUUUUUUAGAUCUAAAUAUUUCACAAUCAUUAACAUCGCGUAUCGUCGAUAAGAGUUAAGAUCCACCACUUUUAGGUUUUGAAGACUAGAUUUUAAACGCUUCUUGGUAAAAAGUGUAUUCUAUUGACUUUUAGCCCAUUGUUUUACAAGUAAGUUUAUUUUAGCCUUGCAUGAUCAUUUUAACAUGAGAUCUGAAUUGUAGUCUCCAUAAGAAAUCUUAGAAUUGUAAGAUCUGAUGAUCUAAAUUGUUAUUUACCUAUCAUAGAAAUAAUAUAUGGAAAAAAAAUUACAGUGUCAAGAUUAAACUUCAAUGAUAAAGUUAUAACCAGCGAGCGAUGAUGGAUACCUUAUAUAUCAAAUUAUUCUUCGUGAAAUAUCGAAUUCCAAUCAAAUCAACGAAGUACCAAAUUUCAAUCGAAUUGAAUCGCAUGUCCUUGGACGGGAUUUGUUUGAUUGUCAUGGGGCUAGAGCUACUACAUCUGGAGGUCGAAAUCAACCUCCUUAUAUGUUGCAGAAGAUCUGUCUUUAGAGAGAUGAAACUGCAUGAUACGGAUAUCUUCAGUCGCAGUGGUGACGCCAUACAGACAUGAAAAGACAACGAUGCUGCUACUAGAAUGAUGCUGUGACUGAGGAGUACCUUCAUGAAGGACAACGUGAAUCAUCAAGACAAAAUGUAAAGCCUUCUCAAAAUCAAAACAUCAACAUGCUCAAGAAGGUGGAGGAAGUUGACAAAGGUAAAGUCUCUAUUUCCCUUGCUGAUCUUGAUUUAGAAGAACUUCUAAAAGUGAAGGCUUCAUUGAAAGUACUCCAGAGUGACAUAGAAGCAGCAACAUAUUUGCUUUUCCUUUCGAAGAAACCUAUAUAAUCAAGAGGGUCAAGUAGAUUGCAGCAUACAAGUCUCAUUGGUUCGGAUUGUAAGGCAUGAGAAAAAUUCACGUUCGGAUUGUAAACUUCAUUGAGGCAGCAUCAUAUUUGCUUCUCCUUGCAAAGAAACCUAUAUAAUCUUAUGCUUGUGACCGAAUAGCUGAAGAAGGUCGAGGAUAUUUCCCCUGCUGAUCUUGAUUUAGAGGAACUUCUAAAGUGAAGGCUUUAUUGAAAGAGCUAGAUGGUGACAUUGAGGUCGCAUCAUCUUUGUUUCGCCUUGCAAAGAAACCUAUAUAAUCGAGAGGGUCGCAGCAUAUAAGCGUCAUUGGUUCGGAUUGUAAAGUAUGAGAAAAAUCCAAUGUUAUGAAAAGUAAUUACUAAUUAGAGAUUUUGUGUUGUUCAAUUUUAGAAAUUGAUCAUGAAUAAUUCACUUUGUUUUGCAAUUAUUAGUCACAUGUAACGUAUAAUUCCUGAUCCAGAGCGAUGUACAAGUUAAG